CCUACGGGUGGCAGCAGUGAGGAAUAUUGGUCAAUGGCCGAGAGGCUGAACCAGCCAAGUCGCGUGAGGGAAGACGGCCCUACGGGUUGUAAACCUCUUUUGUCGGGGAGCAAAGCGAACCACGUGUGGUUCAUUGAGAGUACCCGAAGAAAAAGCAUCGGCUAACUCCGUGCCAGCAGCCGCGGUAAUACGUAGGGGGCAAGCGUUAUCCGGAUUUACUGGGUGUAAAGGGAGCGUAGACGGCAGCACCAGUCUGGAGUGAAAUCCCGGGGCUUAACCCCGGAACUGCGUUGGAAACUGUGCGGCUGGAGUGCAGGAGGGGUAAGCGGAAUUCCUAGUGUAGCGGUGAAAUGCGUAGAUAUUAGGAGGAACACCGGUGGCGAAGGCGGCUUACUGGACUGUAACUGACGUUGAGGCUCGAAAGCGUGGGGAGCAAACAGGAUUAGAUACCCCUGUAGUC
RNAcentral lists this ribosomal RNA (460 nucleotides) under uncultured bacterium. Its description in RNAcentral is "partial 16S ribosomal RNA". It matches the Rfam family "Bacterial small subunit ribosomal RNA", at positions 338 to 795 of the family's 1533-position model. The record is from RNAcentral.